UUACGGCCACAUCACGUUGAAACAGCGGUUCCCGUAUGAUAACAAAAGUUAAGCAAUGUCGAGCCUGAUCAGUAUCUAGAUGGGUGACUACUUGGGAAUACCAAGUGUUGUAAG
Acanthosepion pharaonis is the source of this 114-nucleotide non-coding RNA. Lineage: Eukaryota; Metazoa; Mollusca; Cephalopoda; Sepiida; Sepiidae. The record is from the annotation of a GenBank genome assembly.